AUGCUGAGUUGCCUGCUACGCUGGGUCGUGACUUUCGUGAGUCCUGGGAUUCCUGAACUUCAUGGAUCCUUUUGGGACGUUGCUACUGUUCCGGCUGGGACCUUGGAUCACUUCUGGACAUCGCUUUCGCUCACUGGCCCUGACCUUGCUGUGGAUGACUCCUGGACCAGCUUGACUAUGACCUUGUUACAUCCUGGAACGGGUUUGCUGAAACUUGGACUUUCCUUCCUGUUAAGGUCAGCAAACAUUUUGGACACUGAUCAAUUUUGGAUAAAACAUUCCUUCCAACAGUCAGUGGGACUUUUCUAACAAACCACAUGUGAUCACGCUUCAUCGGCACCAUUUUUCAAUGCCUUACAUUUUGACUAUUUAAAAUUACUAUACAGUAUAGUAUAUUCCACACAUGGUCACCUAUUUGGACCAUGUGUCAAAAAAUGGGUUCUCACUAUGUAUAAUAUAAAAGAAUGGAAAGAAUGGCUUUGUGGCUGCAGUUACUAUGGUACAGACUGAAUUUUUCUUUUGUGUCAGGAGCGACUUUAGAAACUGCAAGUCGCUUUUGGUGUGAGAGAAUUGGCAGUCUGCAAGGAUGUUGCCCAGGGGACGCCCAGAUGUUUUAUGUUUUACCAUCCUUGUGAGAGGCUUCUCUCAUGUCCCCACAUGGGGAGCUGGAGCUGACAGAGGGAGCUCACUCGUUCUCCCCAGAUUUGAACCACUGACCUAUCGGUCAGCAGUCGUACCGGCACAAGGGUCUAAUCCACUGUGCCACCGGGGGCUCCUACAGACUGAAUAAAAAUAUGGUAAUUUUUUUUGCAACCACAUCUUUCUUUUCCCAACUCAACACCAUCUUCCCUUUAGUCUGUAGACCGACACUGCAAUAAAACUUUCAGCCACUUACUCUCCUUCUCUGAUGCCAGGGAAGAUGGCUGAGAGAGCUAUUUGCCUACAUCCAGAAGGAAUCGAGAAAGUUUGAAAACAGCUUUAAAGGAACAAGCAGAGUGUCACAGCUUGGUCUACUGAGUGACCUUACUCAAAACGUGCACUGUUUGCAGAGGAAAGCAAUACCUUGUUUAGAUGCUCGUCUGGAGGGUGGGAAAGAAAGAAAGAAGCCCUCAAGAGUUUAAAAUGCAAAGCAGCUGCACUGCUCACCUGUAGUAAAGAGCUUUUGCCAAGAAAGCUUCUUGGCAUCCCCGUUUUCCCAGAGGUAGGGAGAGAGGCUGGAGGUGAAGGCUGCUUAUGCCUUGCAGGCAAAACUCAGGCUAUGCAUUCCCUUGCAAAUGUGGUAUGCCUUUUUGAGCAAUGCAGAAGAAAAGCCCACCUAGUCAUCUACUGGCAGUUUGGCACCAACACCAUCAGAUGAAUGAAAGAUAGAGGAGGUGGCCAAGCAGAUACCUGCUUUUGCAAUCAACCCUUUCUUCCAGAAUCAAGAGAAGCAAACACAUUUCCUGUCCUGAACAGUGCUUUCCUUAUUUUAUUUCUCUUCCUGCAUGUUGGGACACUCUACUUGGUCCUUUUAAGAUGGUUCCAAACUUUUCCAAAAUCUUCUAAGGUGUGGCCAAAUAAGGUGCUACUUGCUUAUUUGACAAUUUCUGUUUUUAAAACUAUUUUUACCUUUUGACAGUGCCUUGGUCCCUGUCUGAAAUAUGAACAGCUUUGCUAAGAAUGAUAAACUGAAAGAAAUGUACAACUUUAAAAAACAUUUCAUAUUAGGAACACUAUUACUUGCAAGCGAUGAAGCAUAUAAGAAAAGCAGGAAGCUCAAAGGUUGUGAUGUGAUCCUAUACUUAUUUAGUCAGACAUUCCACCAACUUAAUUAUUUUUAUUCCCAAGGAAGUGAACCUAGACAGUAGUUUUAUAAUAGUGCAAUGGAAACUGAUUGGACAAUUUUAGAUUGCCUUCCUCAAUAUUAUAAGCAGAGUCAGCAAGGAAUUGUUCAUAUAGAUGGGUAAAAGAGAACAUUGAACAGACUUCUGCAACAAGGCAGCACUAUUUGCAUUCAGUAGUUUAUAACAUUCCAUCUACCUUCUAAUACAGAACUUCAGUGAAACAGCACAUUUAAAUAAAACUCAGAUGUUGUUUCCUAUCAGAAACUAGGAGGCCACAAGUUUCCAAAGAGCAAAGGCUUUAUUUAAACACAGGCAUACAGUUUGGCACUUUUGCAUAACCACUUGAGUAGUGCCACCUCUCCCAUCCCAUUCUGCUUCAAGCCCUCCCAUCUCACCCUGUUGGAGGCUGCUGCAGUGACGUGUCCACCUGAGUUUCCGGAGUGUGGCAUUAACUCCUUGGCUGCCACGGCCCCCGGCGACAAAGUUCUGUAGUGCACUGACUUCUAUCAUAAUCAGAGUCCGAGUGUCACAGAACUUUGCUUCCAGAGACCAAAUCUGCUUUUUCCUCCAACCUAUGUCAUCAAUCGAAUGGCCUUUUCCUCUUGCCAACUAAAAAGCAAAAACAAACAAGAGAGACAGUUAAGACCCCAAGAAAGUCACCCAUGGAGAUAAAAAAAGGGGUGACACAAAGUUUAACAAGUUCUCACUCACAGGUAUGGACAUUCCGAUUCUGGAUCCCAAAGUAAAACAAUUAUCAGUGAGCAGCAUUUCUAACUAUGAGCACUGGCCUAUUCAGGUACUCCAAGCUUUGUGCAAUAGCAGAUGGUUUUUUAAAAAUUAAAAACCCACAAUCCAUAUUGGCAGCUUGUUUCUUCUCUUUCCCAGCAACUAGAAGUAGGCGACAGACAGAAAUAUAUCUGUAAUGUACAUUCCCACAUAUGUUUUAGACAUAACUUCAGCUGCACAGUAAGAAAUGAAGCAAAGCAGUAUCAUUGAAGGCCACGUCUACACACCAGGCAUGGAAAAUACACCCACUAUCUAUCAGAGCUAACCAAUCCCUAUAGGAACAAAAGCUCUUCCCGCACCCUGAGCCCCCUGUUCACCAAGGAGGCUGGAAAGACAUGAACUGCUGCAUGCCAUGCUUUGUCACCUUGGCAAGAGGGAAGGAGCCCACCUGUCUGAAAUUGCCCAUGAGCCCACAGCAGUCAGGAGUGGCCACCUAAGGCAACCCUCCUUAUCCCACAAUUAUUCAAGCAGCAUGGGGAAUCCUGCCCACCAGAAGGUCUGGAAGCAAGACAGAAGGACUGUGUCCCCUUGCCAAGGGAGAGGGAGCCCACCUAUCUCUUCCACAUGUGAAUCUAGAGUUGCCUAUGAAACCACUGCAGUCUGAAGUGGCUGCAUAAGGCAAACCUAUCUCUAAGGCAACCCUUUUAUCCAUAAGACUUCUACCUCUAUAUGGGAAACCCUGCUCACCAAAAACAUCUGGAAACAAGACAAGGAACCACUGCAAGUCCAGUGUAGGCAGAGGUGGCUCCCUAAGGCAACCCUGCUAUCCCAUAGGCACUCAAGCCUGCAUGAGGAACCCUGCUCACCAGAGGUUCUAGAAACAAAACCACACAAGAAAGCAUGUAAAGCUUUGUUCCUUGCCAAGAGAUA
This 3479-nucleotide long non-coding RNA is filed under the name Anolis carolinensis (green anole). RNAcentral describes it as "lncRNA (ENSACAG00000041698.1)". Lineage: Eukaryota; Metazoa; Chordata; Lepidosauria; Squamata; Anolidae. The record is from RNAcentral.